CGUCAUUUGUCGAUAACCUCAGUUGUGUGAGAAAUAUAUUUUCGUUUGGUGGAACUAUUUCCAAAGUGAACAACUAGUUAUAAAGGCCAACUGCAGGGAGGUCAUGUAUGGUCCUAGAAGGUAUUAUAAGAAAUUAACAAGGCGAAGGCGCGGGCCAACACCAUGCACACAGUAUGUUACGAUCACGACAACCUAUGGUUUCGUGUGACGGAUUUUGGCAGACCAAGCCAAUGUAUUACCGGCGGGUAAUAUCGUGUACACCUGAUAAAUAGGACUUGCGAUUGUGGGGCGUUUGACACACUUCGUUAUCCAUGCGCUCAUGCAAUUGC
RNAcentral lists this long non-coding RNA (329 nucleotides) under Gossypium barbadense (sea-island cotton). Its description in RNAcentral is "long non-coding RNA (GBAR_LNC009357)". Lineage: Eukaryota; Viridiplantae; Streptophyta; Magnoliopsida; Malvales; Malvaceae. The record is from RNAcentral.